This is an RNA transcript of Onychostruthus taczanowskii (white-rumped snowfinch), 3545 nucleotides long. It is a transcript of the gene named tryptophanyl tRNA synthetase 2, mitochondrial, with no coding region annotated. NCBI's taxonomy places the organism in Eukaryota, Metazoa, Chordata, Aves, Passeriformes, Passeridae. The record is from RefSeq and is a predicted model, not a curated record. The transcript has 8 exons.
GUGGGCUACUGAAACUAAUGACUGGUCCAAUGCACAGUGCCACUGGUAACAGACCUACAAGGGUGCCUUCUUUCCUGAUGGCUGGUUAGUUUUCCCAGAGCCCGCCAUAGCAAAUUCCCACAGUCACUGUUCCACAUGUUUGCAGACCUGCAGAAGAGCUUGGGUUCACGUCACUUGGAACACUGGUAACAAGCAUUUUGUGGCUUCCCAGCCUGGGCAUUGAACUGGGGAGAAAUGAAAUCGGGAGAAACCAGGCAGAGGAGCUAACACGAGGGGUUGAUGUACAACUUCUUCAGGAACUUGUCAAACCUCAUUAGUAACUUCAGUACUUCUUGCUUUGGUUCUGUUACCUGGCGCAAUGGAAGAGCCAUGGCACAAAGACUGGAUUUGGGGACAUGCUGUGUCUGAGGUGCUGGACAAUGAGAUCUGCUUCUGCCUGGGCUUUUGGGCAGACCGGAGCAGACCGAGGGCAGAUAGCAGCUUUUGGGGGGGUCCUGCGGAGGCUGACUUUAGUUAGUAUGACAGGACGGGCAGAGGCCACGCUGCGAAUCUCCCCGUGGAAGAGCUGCCGUGGGCAAGGCCAGGCGGCCGGAAGGAUGCAGGGAUGGAGGAGGCCUCGGAUGGGACGCGCUGCCGAAAGGCGCCGUUCCAAGGGCACCCUGCAGGCGAUGCAGGAGCCAUGGAAACCGAGAAGCGACGACCUUCACUCCCACAAGUGCCAGAGUCAAUGCCGACGCCAGCGCCGCCCCUUCCCGGUAACCGCGCCCCACCAGCGGCCGCUCCCGCAGCGCGCCUGCGGGACAUGCGCGGACCCUGCCGCGCUCCUGCCCCGUGUCCCUCCCCCCCGCCUCUUCCUUCCCGCCUUUGCCAUGGCGACACCGAGUGGCCUGAUCCGGGCCCUACACCGCGGGACCCUCGGCCAGAAUGUGGUCGUGGAUCGGAUUUUCUCGGGUAUCCAGCCAACUGGGACCCCUCAUCUGGGUAACUACCUUGGAGCCAUUCAGAACUGGGUGAAUCUGCAGGAAGAGUGCAGCUCGGUGCUCUAUAGCAUUAUGGACCUGCACUCUCUCACCAUGCCCAAGGAGCCAGCUGUCCUGCGCCAGAACAUCCUGGACACCACUGCUGCCAUCCUUGCCUGUGGGAUUGACCCAAAGAAAUGUCUCCUGUUCCGGCAGUCACUGGUUCCUGAGCAUGCAGAACUUGCCUGGAUUCUUGGGUGCUUAACUAAUGUGCCACGUCUGCUGCGUUUGCCCCAGUGGAAGAUGAAGCGUGCCAGCCAGAAUAGCGAAGGAACUGUUGGCUUGUUGACUUACCCUGUGCUUCAAGCAGCAGAUAUUUUGCUGUACAAGUCAACACGUGUUCCUGUUGGAGAAGAUCAAGUCCUGCACCUGGAACUAGCCCAAGAUAUAGCACAACAUUUCAACAAGAAAUAUGGAGAAUUCUUUCCUGUGCCCAAAGCCAUUUUAAGUACUACAAAGAAAAUAAAAUCCCUGAGAGAUCCAUCGGCGAAGAUGUCCAAGUCAGACCCGCAGAAGUUAGCCACUGUUAACAUAGCAGACAGCCCAGAUGAGAUAGUGCUGAAAUUUCGCAAAGCUGUGACUGACUUUACCUCGGAGGUGACCUACGAGCCCGCCGCUCGCCCCGGUGUCUCCAAUCUGGUGUCCAUUCACGCUGCAGUAACGGGGCUUAGCAUCAAAGAGGUGCUGCACCAAGCCACUGGUCUCGACACUGCUCACUACAAAAUGGUGGUAGCAGAGUCGGUUAUCCAAAAAUUUGCACCUAUCAGGAAUGAAAUCAAGAAGCUCCAGGAAGACAAGUCUCAUCUGGUUAAGGUUUUAGAGGAUGGAGCAGAGAAAGCCAAAGAACUGGCUGCUCCUAUCUAUCAAGAAAUAAGGAGACUGGUGGGAUUUCAAUAGAAGCUGCUGAGUAGUUGCAAGGACUUUUGUAUCAUGGGACAGAGAUUUUGUUAUUUGUAACAAAAUCAUUUAUUAAUUAUUAAUAAUUUUGGUUUGAAACAAGAACUUUUCUUCAUGGAAGAUCCAAGGCGAACGUUGAAGAUGAUUGCAUUAAAAAAUGUGCAUAAAGCCAGGUAUUGCCAGUGGGACCAGCAUUAAGUUUGUCUGGCUAGUCAAAGCGGGAGGACAGAAGCAAUCACAAUUCACAAAGAAACUGUCCAAAAGCAGAUUAUAAGGUUGUCUGUGUGGGUUUUUGUAUUUUUCCAUUGACCACUGCAAGAAGCUGAAUUGUAGGGAUCUGAAGAAAAGAACUGCCAUGCAAGAGCUUGAUGAUGACAGAUUUUCUAAAAUUAGUCAAGACUAGAGAAGCAGAGUGGAUGGAGCCAGACUGAUUGGAACCAAACUCAGUGUAGACAAGCCUAAGAGCUUCUGUCUUUGCUAUGCCUGAUCAUUGGCACACGAGGAGGAAGGGCCUUGCUGCUUGGGAGAGGAUUACUGCUGUCACCAUUGAGACAACUGAUCCAAACUGCGAUACUCCUACCUUAAGUUUGCCAACAUGAACCCCCCUAGAAGGAAGCUGUGAAGUGGAUGAAUUUACUGUGUACACUGCAUGAGUGCUGCAGGUUCCAUAGUAUUGGUGUGACCUGUUGGGAAAGUGUAUCAUUUUGGUGUUUAAUAACAAUUGCCAAAAUGGCCCAAGGAUGUGCUGGGAUUCUGAAGAUCUCAAAAAUCUUGUGAGGAAGAGCUGAAGGAGUUGAGCUUGUUCAGCCUUGAGAAGAGAUCUCAGAGAGAUCUCAUCAGCGUCUGUAAGUACCUGCAGGGAGGGUCUCAAGAGGAUGGAGCCAGGCAUCCAGUCACACCAUUCUUUUUGGUGGUGCCAAGCACAGGGACAAGAGGCGACAGAAAGACACUGAUGCAUGGAAGUUCCACCUGAGCACAAGAAAGAACUUGUUUACUGUGCAGGUACACUGGAACAGAUUUUCCAGAGAUGUGGUAGAGUCUCUCUCACUGGAGGUAUUCCAGAACCUUCUGGACAUAGUCCCUUGCUAUGUGCUCUGGGAUGAACCUGCUUGAGCAGGGAGGUUGGAGGAGCUGACCUGCUCUGGUCCCUGCCAAUCUGACCCAUUCUGUGAUUUGGUAAAUUCAGAUGUGUUGCUGAUUUGUAUGUGGGUUGUUCUGGCUCCCCUGAAGAUGAAAUGUGCUUUUUUGGGUGAGUUAUAUCUAAUGGACCUAAUUUCUACAGAGAUAUUUUUAAAAUAAACUUCAGAGUUCCAAAAUAUCUGUAGCACAGCAACAAAAUUGAAGUGAUGAGCUUUGCUGCUGUUUUAAUCCACUUUGUUUACCAGCAUCACACACUGGCAGGAGUAGAAACUCCACUUUUUUUCUUCUUCAAGCCAACCAAGUUCUGACCCAAAGGGCUUCACUCUACUUUCUGCUUGCCUUUGAGGAGGUGGAUUAGUGUCUUUGAGUGUGAAUGUUGUCUUUAUGGCUUAUGAGGAUAGCUUCCAGUAGCUGAUGAGUGGUUUGUCAAGGAAGAUCUCUGGGUAGCCUGAGAACAUUUAAUGGAUGCUGCCAGGUUUUGGGGGAGGA